AUUGAACGCUGGCGGCAGGCCUAACACAUGCAAGUCGAGCGAGCGGCGGACGGGUGAGUAAUGUAUGGGGACUGCCCGAUAGAGGGGGAUAACUACUGGAAACGGUGGCUAAUACCGCAUACUAUCGGAAAACCCAUAUGGGAUUAGCUAGUAGGUGGGGUAAAGGCUCACCUAGGCGACGAUCUCUAGCUGGUCUGAGAGGAUGAUCAGCCACACUGCGACUCAGACACGGCCCAGACUCCAACGGAGGCAGCAGGGGGGAAUAUCGCACACUGGGCGCAAGCCUGAUGCAGCCAUGCCGCGUGUAUGCAGAAGGCCUUAGGGUUGUAAAGUACUUUCAGCGGGAUGGCGUUACCCGCAGAAGCAGCACCGGCUGACUCCGUGCCAGCCGCCGCGGUAAUUC
This 403-nucleotide ribosomal RNA is filed under the name uncultured bacterium. Its description in RNAcentral is "partial 16S ribosomal RNA". It matches the Rfam family "Bacterial small subunit ribosomal RNA", at positions 30 to 526 of the family's 1533-position model. The record is from RNAcentral.